UACGUAGGGGCAAGCGUUGUCCGGAAUUACUGGGCGUAAAGCGCACGCAGGCUGACUUAUAAGUCGGUAGUCUAAUGCGGAGGCUCAACUUCCGUUUAUCUAUCGAUACUGUAAGACUAGAGUAUGUGAGAGGGAAGUGGAAUUCCCGGUGUAGCGGUGAAAUGCGUAGAUAUCGGGAGGAACUCCGGUGGCGAAGGCGACUUCCUGGCACAAGACUGACGCUCAUGUGCGAAAGCUAGGGUAGCGAACAGGAUUAGAUACACG
RNAcentral lists this ribosomal RNA (264 nucleotides) under uncultured prokaryote. Its description in RNAcentral is "partial 16S ribosomal RNA". It matches the Rfam family "Bacterial small subunit ribosomal RNA", at positions 524 to 788 of the family's 1533-position model. The record is from RNAcentral.